UUGAGCGGAGAUAUAUGGAGCUUGCUUUAUAUAACUUAGCAGCGAACGGGUGAGUAACACGUAGAUAAUCUAUCCUAUACUGGGGGAUAGCCCGAUGAAAGUUGGAUUAAUACCGCAUAUAGCUAUAUAGUUGCAUGAUUAUGUAGUGAAAGAUUUAUUGGUAUAGGAGGAGUCUGCGGCACAUUAGCUAGUAGGUGAGGUAAAGGCUUACCUAGGCGACGAUGUGUAGCCGGUCUGAGAGGAUGAACGGCCACAAUGGAACUGAGACACGGUCCAUACUCCUACGGGAGGCAGCAGUGGGGAAUAUUGCACAAUGGGGGAAACCCUGAUGCAGCAACGCCGCGUGAGUGAAGAAGGUUUUCGGAUUGUAAAGCUCUGUUAGCAGGGAAGAGGAAGGACGGUACCUGCAGAGGAAGCCACGGCUAACUACGUGCCAGCAGCCGCGGUAAUACGUAGGUGGCAAGCGUUGUUCGGAAUAACUGGGCGUAAAGGAUGCGUAGGCGGUUAAACAAGUUAUAUGUUAAAUAUAUAGGCUUAACCUGUAGAAAGCAUAUAAAACUGUUUAACUAGAGUGCAGGAGAGGUAAGUGGAAUUCCUAGUGUAGCGGUGAAAUGCGUAGAGAUUAGGAAGAACACCAGUGGCGAAGGCGACUUACUGGACUGUAACUGACGCUGAGGCAUGAGAGCAUGGGGAGCAAACAGGAUUAGAUACCCUGGUAGUCCAUGCUGUAAACGAUGGGUACUAGGUGUGGGUUGUGAAUAACAAUUCGUGCCGUCGCAAACGCAAUAAGUACCCCGCCUG
Molecule: ribosomal RNA, 801 nt
Filed under: uncultured bacterium
Lineage: Bacteria
Description: bacterial SSU rRNA
Rfam family: Bacterial small subunit ribosomal RNA
Source: RNAcentral